UUACAUUUUUAUUAUACAUUCGAAUGAAUGUAUGAUGGAGUAUUAUACAUCAUAAAUAUAGCACCAUUUUGUGUAAACAACAAAGCCAAAAAUUAAAUUCAACAAUAAAACUCCUUUAACAAAUGCUAUUACACCACAACAACAUCAUUUACAACACCUACAACUAAAAAAUAAUAAUUUAUUCCAUACCUUUGUUUGUCAGAUCGUUUAGUAAAGGUGUUGAAGUCAUUCGAUAUCGCAUAUUUCGCCAUAACCGAUACCAAAGUUUGCUUAUCCUUAUAAAGCUGGUUAACUUUUAUUUCAGUGUUCUUGCAAUUAGUAAUGAAAUUAUUGACUUCAAAUUCUGGAACGUAUAAUGAAUACUGAUUAUGCGUUUCAACAACAGUUAAAGCAACCGAAUCAGAUUCACUACCUUCAAUACACAUUACAGCCCCAGUUUCGCUAUCAAACUCGAUAUCCUUAAUCGAUUUGUUGAAAGUUGUUAUACAUAGCAAAAAAAUUUUAAGCCCAGAACAUUGUUUCUUCAACUCAAUAUAAACCUUCACUCCAUUAUCAUUUCUUAUGAUAAUUGGAGAAGAGUUACCAUCAACAAUGCAUUUUACUUUAAUUUUUUUUUAACAUCAUCAAUACCCAAUUUCAUCGCGAUUGUCGCAACCAAUUUCAGAAAGUUAAUAUUUUCUGAAACAACAAUGACAUCACUUUUGUAUGCUUUAAAACUUAUUUCCGUCUCCCAUACACCGGAAUGACGCAACAAUAUUGGGAUGUUCAUCUUUUUUCUCAUAAGAAAUUAUGAAUAAAUAUUUUUUUUCCAGAAUCGCAAAUCAGAAAAGAAGACAAUUAGAGGUAAUGUUUAAGAGUUUUUUU
RNAcentral lists this long non-coding RNA (864 nucleotides) under Capsicum annuum. Its description in RNAcentral is "long non-coding RNA (CANN_LNC006440)". Lineage: Eukaryota; Viridiplantae; Streptophyta; Magnoliopsida; Solanales; Solanaceae. The record is from RNAcentral.